GAUGAAGAACGUAGCGAAAUGCGAUAAGUAGUGUGAAUUGCAGAAUUCAGUGAAUCAUCGAAUCUUUGAACGCACAUUGCGCCCCUUGAUAUUCCAUGGGGCAUGCCUGUUCGAGCGUCAUUUGUACCCUCAAGCUUUGCUUGGUGUUGGGUGUUUGUCCCGCGUUGCGCGUGGACUCGCCUUAAAGCGAUUGGCAGCCGGCAUAUUGGCCUUGGAGCGCAGCACAUUUUGCGCUUCUAGUCAUGAAUGUUGGCGUCCAUUAAGCCUAUACAUUUGCUCUUGACCUCGGAUCAGGUAGGGAUACCCGCUGAACUUAAGCAUAUCAAUAAGCGGAGGA
This 337-nucleotide unclassified non-coding RNA is filed under the name soil metagenome. RNAcentral's name for it is "partial contains 5.8S ribosomal RNA, internal transcribed spacer 2, and large subunit ribosomal RNA". The stretch from base 1 to 120 matches the Rfam family "5.8S ribosomal RNA", at positions 35 to 154 of the family's 154-position model. The record is from RNAcentral.